This 418-nucleotide ribosomal RNA is filed under the name uncultured bacterium. RNAcentral's name for it is "bacterial SSU rRNA". It matches the Rfam family "Bacterial small subunit ribosomal RNA", at positions 356 to 773 of the family's 1533-position model. The record is from RNAcentral.
GAGGAAUUUUGGGCAAUGGGGGCAACCCUGACCCAGCGACGCCGCGUGCAGGAUGAAGGCCCUUCGGGUUGUAAACUGCUUUCGGGUGAGAAGAAAAGCCGACUCGGUCGGCUGGGACUGUACCACCAGAAGAAGCACCGGCUAACUACGUGCCAGCAGCCGCGGUAAUACGUAGGGUGCAAGCGUUAUCCGGAAUCACUGGGUGUAAAGGGUGUGUAGGCGGAUUUGUGCGUCAGAGGUUAAAUAUCCAGGCUUAACUUGGAAAAUGCCUUUGAUACGGCAAGUCUUGAGUAUAAGAGAGGAAGAUGGAAUUCCUGGUGUAGAAGUGAAAUUCGUAGAUAUCAGGAGGAACACCGGUGGCGAAGGCGGUCUUCUGGCUUAUUACUGACGCUGAGGCACGAAAGCGUGGGGAUCAAAC